Molecule: long non-coding RNA, 1238 nt
Organism: Austrofundulus limnaeus
Lineage: Eukaryota; Metazoa; Chordata; Actinopteri; Cyprinodontiformes; Rivulidae
Exons: 4
Source: RefSeq, a predicted model, not a curated record
GUGUAGGGAAAAGGUGUGUGUGUGUGUGUGUGUGCCAAUGCAUCCUCCUGCUUGUGGUGUUUCUGUGAGUAGCCAGCAGCCAAGGGUGUAAGAAUGAGUUUAUUAUUGGGGGGAGUAUAAAUAAUAUUAGACACCUGAGAGAUAUGUACAUACUCUGAGCAGAAAUAUGUCAUAAAUUAACUACACUUGCAAAGCAUACACAAAAUGCUAUUUGAUCUUUUCUUAGACAAAUUGUGUUGUGGGCAAACCCCACAACAAAAUGGCUUGAGUCUAAUAGGAUUGCACAAAAUAUUGUGAAUAUAUUGUAAUCACAAUAUCAGUGUGUGCAAUAUUCGUACUGCAAAAGACUGCAUGGAGUGCAGUAAUUCACAACUAAUAUGUUUUAAGAGUUUUGAAGUUGUAUUUUUCAUGUUAAUAUAAUAGCAAAUGAGGCAAAUGAUGGAAUGGCAUUAUUUAUUUUUGAAGAUGCUUUGCUGCUACUUUGGUUGUUCAAGAUUAUGAAAUAUAAAUUAAUUAUUCACACUUACAUAGAGGCUGGUCAAUUUGUUGGCCAAAUUAUCAGAUAAGGUUAUCAGAUAAAUUGUAAGUUAUGGCAAUAAUUGACCAUUUUAAAAAUUCUAUUUUAGUGAAAGCAAGCAUUGAUGUUUUUUUUUGUAUUUUCACUGCUGACUUGUCAUUUCACCUACAGAUGUUUACAGGUUAAGGACCUUCAGGAUCAUGAGAAUAGCCAAAUAACAAUAACCAUGUCAAAAAGAAGAGCCAGAAUUAGUCCUGAAGCUGAGGCUAUUCAGUUUGUUUUAACUGGAAGUGACAAGCCUUGUCUGAAGGUUCAAUGGAUCAAUAACUAUAAAGGGCGUGGUGUAUUUGCUUGUGCACCAAUAGCAAAGGGAUCCUUCAUUGCUGAGUACCGUGGGGAGUUGAUCUCAAAAUAUGAACGAGACAAGAGACAGAAAAAGUACACUGAAAAGCAAAAUGCAUUCCUGUUUGAUUUUGAGUGGAAAAAUAAUACAUGGUGCAUUGAUGCCUCGCAUGAAGAUGACUCUUUUGGCCGGUUGGUUAAUGAUGCCCAUAAAUCCCCAAACUGCAAAAUGAAAAAGCUGACUGUCCAGGGUAAACCUCAUCUUUGCUUGUUUGCGAUCGAAAACAUCCAAGCAGAGAGUGAAAUAACCUAUAACUAUGGAGACGCUCCAUGGCCAUGGCGAGCUCUGAAACCAGGUGUAAAGGUCUCAACUCCAUCU